Molecule: ribosomal RNA, 402 nt
Filed under: uncultured Sphingomonas sp.
Lineage: Bacteria; Pseudomonadati; Pseudomonadota; Alphaproteobacteria; Sphingomonadales; Sphingomonadaceae
Description: bacterial SSU rRNA
Rfam family: Bacterial small subunit ribosomal RNA
Source: RNAcentral
UGGGGAAUAUUGGACAAUGGGCGAAAGCCUGAUCCAGCAAUGCCGCGUGAGUGAUGAAGGCCUUAGGGUUGUAAAGCUCUUUUACCCGGGAUGAUAAUGACAGUACCGGGAGAAUAAGCCCCGGCUAACUCCGUGCCAGCAGCCGCGGUAAUACGGAGGGGGCUAGCGUUGUUCGGAAUUACUGGGCGUAAAGCGCGCGUAGGCGGCUUUGUAAGUUAGAGGUGAAAGCCCGGAGCUCAACUCCGGAAUUGCCUUUAAGACUGCAUCGCUAGAAUCAUGGAGAGGUGAGUGGAAUUCCGAGUGUAGAGGUGAAAUUCGUAGAUAUUCGGAAGAACACCAGUGGCGAAGGCGACUCACUGGACAUGUAUUGACGCUGAGGUGCGAAAGCGUGGGGAGCAAACA